Molecule: long non-coding RNA, 1273 nt
Organism: Cyprinus carpio (common carp)
Lineage: Eukaryota; Metazoa; Chordata; Actinopteri; Cypriniformes; Cyprinidae
Source: RefSeq, a predicted model, not a curated record
UUGGUGACUUUUAUGUAAUUGUCAGAGAAACUAUUCAGAGAAGUCUGGAUCAGAGGGUUCAGAAGAUCCUAAUUGAAGCAUAAAGCAUCCUAAUUGCCUGUGUUUAUUUGGUAAAGGGCUCACAGAGGAGGAACAGAAAGAUAGUGGUGGAGAGCAGAGGGUCUGGGUCCCCGAUCAAAUGUCAGUCUGCUGGACUGCAGCAGUGCUGUGCUUCAUUGCUUGUUUACUGUAUAAUGCAGCGGGUCUCAAUCAGAGUGUCAACAUAGGAAAAUUAAGCAACCACAAUUCAUUUUAUGAUUCUAGAAGUUUCAAGAAACUUCAACAACAACAACAACAAAAAAUAGUUUUUGCGAGGGAGAAAUAAAUAUGAUUUUAGUUCACAUCUUGAUUGUAUUUUUAGCAUUCAGUUAAUAAUUUUAAUAAUAAUUUAAGUAAGUAAGUCAUGUUGCAGCCACUUGUAUGUUUGUUAAAUCCACUUGGUUGAGAACCACUGGACAAAUAGAGUUUGGACCGAGUCAUUUCAAUCUUUCUGUUGGGAUAUUCAGUUUUUAAUAUUUGUAAAUUGAGCAUUUUUAGUGAGUUCUCUUUAGAAAUGUUUAUCACAUUAUUAAAAUGUUUUAGUUUGUCCAACCUAUGUGUGAAAAUCAAGGAGUCCAAAUGAAAUUCAAACCUGGAAGUACAUAAAGAUUUUUAGAAACUAGUAACAAAAGUAUUUUUUUGAUCUCGAAAGGAGUCUGCCAAGGAGAAACAGUUGAAAGAGAAAAAGAAGAUUCUGGAAAGCGUGGCUGAAGGCAGAGCUCUAAUGUCUGUGAAAGAAAUGGCCAAAGGUAUCACAUAUGAAGACCCAAUAAAACAAGCUGAAAUGUGCUCCGUUACAUUCUUGGCAUGCUGGCAGCGCGGCACGAACGUGUACGGAAGAAGUACCAUAUCCUUGUUGAAGGUGAAGGCAUUCCAUCACCCAUUAAGAGCUUCAGAGAGAUGAAGUUUCCUCCGGGUAAGAUCCACCUCACCCUGGUUUUCACACUGCCCAUCAUGUUUUGUCUGGAGCAGGAGAAACAGCUACCCUUCUGUAAGAGAGAGGGACCAUACAGCCUCAUCAUCUGUCCUUCUGUAAGCCCACAUCCUGUGUCAUCUGCCUGAAAAAUGAGAAGCCCAUUACCUAUAUGUAACAAAAAUAUUUCACCAUAUUUCAUCAUACAAAUCAUAAGUCAAGAGGCAGACAGUACAGGCACCAGACAGCAACAUAAUGGUCAUUUAUUUAUUGAGAGUCAUC